RNAcentral lists this ribosomal RNA (512 nucleotides) under Pseudomonas sp. enrichment culture clone PF3. Its description in RNAcentral is "bacterial SSU rRNA". It matches the Rfam family "Bacterial small subunit ribosomal RNA", at positions 80 to 588 of the family's 1533-position model. The record is from RNAcentral. Lineage: Bacteria; Pseudomonadati; Pseudomonadota; Gammaproteobacteria; Pseudomonadales; Pseudomonadaceae.
CUGCUCCUGGAUUCAGCGGCGGACGGGUGAGUAAUGCCUAGGAAUCUGCCUGGUAGUGGGGGAUAACGUCCGGAAACGGGCGCUAAUACCGCAUACGUCCUGAGGGAGAAAGUGGGGGAUCUUCGGACCUCACGCUAUCAGAUGAGCCUAGGUCGGAUUAGCUAGUUGGUGGGGUAAAGGCCUACCAAGGCGACGAUCCGUAACUGGUCUGAGAGGAUGAUCAGUCACACUGGAACUGAGACACGGUCCAGACUCCUACGGGAGGCAGCAGUGGGGAAUAUUGGACAAUGGGCGAAAGCCUGAUCCAGCCAUGCCGCGUGUGUGAAGAAGGUCUUCGGAUUGUAAAGCACUUUAAGUUGGGAGGAAGGGCAGUAAGUUAAUACCUUGCUGUUUUGACGUUACCAACAGAAUAAGCACCGGCUAACUUCGUGCCAGCAGCCGCGGUAAUACGAAGGGUGCAAGCGUUAAUCGGAAUUACUGGGCGUAAAGCGCGCGUAGGUGGUUCAGCAAGU